This 399-nucleotide ribosomal RNA is filed under the name uncultured bacterium. RNAcentral describes it as "bacterial SSU rRNA". It matches the Rfam family "Bacterial small subunit ribosomal RNA", at positions 28 to 418 of the family's 1533-position model. The record is from RNAcentral.
GACGAACGCUGGCGGCGCGCCUAAUACAUGCAAGUCGAGCGAGAAGACGUAGCAAUACGUUUGUAAAGCGGCGAACGGGUGAGGAAUACAUGGGCAACCUACCCUCGAGUGGGGAAUAACUAGCCGAAAGGUUAGCUAAUACCGCGUACGCUCCUUGGACUUCGGUUCAGGGAGGAAAGCGAUACCGUGGGUAUCGCGCUCUUGGAUGGGCUCAUGUCCUAUCAGCUUGUUGGUGAGGUAACGGCUCACCAAGGCUUCGACGGGUAGCUGGUCUGAGAGGACGAUCAGCCACACUGGCACUGCGACACGGGCCAGACUCCUACGGGAGGCAGCAGUAAGGAAUAUUGCGCAAUGGGCGAAAGCCUGACGCAGCGACGCCGCGUGAGGGAUGACGGCCUG